UAAAACUUGUGGGACGCUAUCCCACAUCUCCUGAAUGCAACUCAGACACUUUAAUUAAGCUAAAGCCUU
RNAcentral lists this transfer RNA (69 nucleotides) under Creteuchiloglanis macropterus. RNAcentral describes it as "tRNA-Ala". The record is from RNAcentral. Lineage: Eukaryota; Metazoa; Chordata; Actinopteri; Siluriformes; Sisoridae.